UCGCGGGGCAGCGGGGGAUGUAGCAAUACAUUCUGCCGGCGACCCGUACAAGGGUGCGUAACGCGUGAGCAACAUGCCCGUCUCACGUGGAUAACCGGUGGAAACGCCGCCUAAUACCCCAUGGCGAUAUAUUGAGGCAUCUUGAUAUAUCUAAAGCUCCGGCGGAGACGGAUUGGCUCGCGUGACAUUAGCUGGACGGCGGGGUAACGGCCCACCGUGGCUACGAUGUCUAGGGGUUCUGAGAGGAAGGUCCCCCACACUGGAACUGAGACACGGUCCAGACUCCUACGGGAGGCAGCAGUGAGGAAUAUUGGUCAAUGGGCGGGAGCCUGAACCAGCCAUGCCGCGUGAAGGCGAGUGCCCUACGGGCGUUAAACUUCUUUUGUGCGGGAGCAAUAAGGGCCACGCGUGGCCCGAUGAGAGUACCGCACGAAUAAGCAUCGGCUAACUCCGUGCCAGCAGCCGCGGUAAUACGGGGGAUGCGAGCGUUAUCCGGAUUUAUUGGGUUUAAAGGGUGCGUAGGCGGCGCUUCAGGUCAGCGGUGAAAUACCGGGGCUCAACCCCGGGGCUGCCGU
RNAcentral lists this ribosomal RNA (575 nucleotides) under uncultured bacterium. RNAcentral's name for it is "bacterial SSU rRNA". It matches the Rfam family "Bacterial small subunit ribosomal RNA", at positions 62 to 627 of the family's 1533-position model. The record is from RNAcentral.